CCCCUAGAUGUUCUGGGCCGCACGCGCGCUACACUGAACAGUUCAACAAGUCUUAACCUUGGCCGAUAGGUCUGGGUAAUCUUUGAACGCUGUUCGUGAUUGGGAUAGACCUUUGCAAAUAUGGGUCUUCAACGAGGAAUUCCUAGUAAACGCAAGUCAUCAGCUUGCAUUGAUUACGUCCCUGCCCUUUGUACACACCGCCCGUCGCACCUACCGAUUGAAUGGUCCGGUGAAAUCUCGGGACGGCGGCUUGGUCGCUUGCGUCCGACUGCUGAAACUUGAUUAAACCAUAUCAUUUAGAGGAAGGUGAAGUCGUAACA
Molecule: ribosomal RNA, 320 nt
Filed under: uncultured eukaryote
Lineage: Eukaryota
Description: partial 18S ribosomal RNA
Rfam family: Eukaryotic small subunit ribosomal RNA
Source: RNAcentral